This 473-nucleotide ribosomal RNA is filed under the name uncultured bacterium. RNAcentral describes it as "bacterial SSU rRNA". It matches the Rfam family "Bacterial small subunit ribosomal RNA", at positions 355 to 825 of the family's 1533-position model. The record is from RNAcentral.
UGGGGAAUAUUGCGCAAUGGGGGAAACCCUGACGAAGCAACGCCGCGUGGAGGAUGAAGGCCUUCGGGUCGUAAACUCCUGUCGACCGGGACGAACGCUAUUGGGCCCAAUACGCCCGAUAGUCGACUGUACCGGUGGAGGAAGCCACGGCUAACUCUGUGCCAGCAGCCGCGGUAAUACAGAGGUGGCAAGCGUUGUUCGGAAUUACUGGGCGUAAAGGGCGCGUAGGCGGCUUGACAAGUCACUUGUGAAAUCUCUGGGCUUAACCCAGAACGGCCAAGUGAAACUGUCAUGCUAGAGUGCAGAAGGGGCAAUCGGAAUUCUUGGUGUAGCGGUGAAAUGCGUAGAUAUCAAGAGGAACACCUGAGGUGAAGACGGGUUGCUGGGCUGACACUGACGCUGAGGCGCGAAAGCCAGGGGAGCAAACGGGAUUAGAUACCCCGGUAGUCCCUGAGCGGGCUGGCAAGGCGCAU